RNAcentral lists this transfer RNA (73 nucleotides) under Rummeliibacillus stabekisii. RNAcentral describes it as "tRNA-Thr". It matches the Rfam family "tRNA". From Rfam's summary of the family: Transfer RNA (tRNA) molecules are approximately 80 nucleotides in length. The record is from RNAcentral. Lineage: Bacteria; Bacillati; Bacillota; Bacilli; Caryophanales; Caryophanaceae.
UGCCGACUUAGUUUAAUGGCAAAACGGUGGUCUCGUAAUCCACUGAUAAGAGUUCGAUUCUCUUAGUCGGCAU